Molecule: RNase P RNA, 300 nt
Filed under: Pantoea sp.
Lineage: Bacteria; Pseudomonadati; Pseudomonadota; Gammaproteobacteria; Enterobacterales; Erwiniaceae
Description: RNase P RNA component class A
Rfam family: Bacterial RNase P class A
About the family: Ribonuclease P (RNase P) is a ubiquitous endoribonuclease, found in archaea, bacteria and eukarya as well as chloroplasts and mitochondria. Its best characterised activity is the generation of mature 5'-ends of tRNAs by cleaving the 5'-leader elements of precursor-tRNAs.
Source: RNAcentral
GAAGCUGACCAGACAGUCGCCGCUUUGUCGUCGUCCCUCUUGUAGGGAGACGGGCAGAGGGGAGGAAAGUCCGGGCUCCAUAGGGCAGGGUGCCAGGUAACGCCUGGGGGGCGCAAGCCUACGACCAGUGCAACAGAGAGCAAACCGCCGAUGGCCCAUUUAUGGGAUCAGGUAAGGGUGAAAGGGUGCGGUAGUACGGCCCGUACUGAACCCGGGUAGGCUGCUUGAGCCAGUGAGCGAUUGCUGGCCUAGAUGAAUGACUGUCCACGACAGAACCCGGCUUAUCGGUCAGUUUCGACU